AUGGAGAGCGACCGCCAGUUCCUGCUGGCGCCGCCGCCGCCCAUGCACGCCGCGGCGGGGGACGACGGCCACUUCCUUCAGCAGCAGCAGCUGAGCGGCGGCGGCGGCGGCGAGAGGAAGCGGCGGUUCACGGAGGAGCAGGUGCGGUCGCUGGAGAGCACGUUCCACACGCGGCGCGCCAAGCUGGAGCCCCGGGAGAAGGCGGAGCUGGCGCGUGAGCUGGGGCUGCAGCCGCGCCAGGUGGCCAUCUGGUUCCAGAACAAGCGCGCCCGGUGGCGCUCCAAGCAGCUGGAGCAGGACUUCGCGGAGCUGCGCGGCCAUUACGACGCCCUCCGCGCCCGCGUCGAGUCGCUCAAGCAGGAAAAGCUCACUCUCGCCGCGCAGCUGGAAGAGCUGAAGAAGAAGCUGAACGAGCGGCAGGACCAGAGCGCAAGCUGCGACGCCGCCGCCGAGGUGGACGACAAGAGCAACAACGUUAGCAGCUGCAUCGUGGCGAAGGAUGAGAGCGCGGCGCCGGCGGCAGACGUCUCGGACGGCUCAACUCCGGGCUGGUACGAGUAUGACAACCACCUGGCGUAUGGGGUUGACCUGCAGGAGCCGUUCUGCGCCACUCCGGAGCUGUGGGAGACGUCAUGGCCGCUGGUGGAGUGGAACGCAGUGGCAUGA
Molecule: ribosomal RNA, 666 nt
Filed under: Triticum aestivum (bread wheat)
Lineage: Eukaryota; Viridiplantae; Streptophyta; Magnoliopsida; Poales; Poaceae
Description: partial small subunit ribosomal RNA
Source: RNAcentral